AGAGUUUGAUCCUGGCUCAGAAUCAACGCUGGCGGCGUGCCUAACACAUGCAAGUCGAACGCGAGGCCCUCGCAAGGGGGUAGUAACGUGGCAAACGGGUGAGUAACACGUGGGUGACCUGCCUUCGAGCGGGGGAUAACGUCCCGAAAGGGACGCUAAUACCGCAUAACAUCCUGCCUUUGAACAUGCGGUGAUCCAAGCUGGGGAUCGCAAGACCUAGCACUCGAAGAGGGGCCCGCGUCCGAUUAGCUAGUUGGUGGGGUAAUGGCCCACCAAGGCAACGAUCGGUAGCCGGCCUGAAAGGGCGGACGGCCACACUGGGACUGACACACGGCCCAGACUCCUACGGGAGGCAUC
This 357-nucleotide ribosomal RNA is filed under the name uncultured Acidobacteriota bacterium. Its description in RNAcentral is "bacterial SSU rRNA". It matches the Rfam family "Bacterial small subunit ribosomal RNA", at positions 8 to 352 of the family's 1533-position model. Lineage: Bacteria; Pseudomonadati; Acidobacteriota. The record is from RNAcentral.